GAUGAACGCUGGCGGCGUGCUUAACACAUGCAAGUCGAGCGAGGAGUUUUGAAAAGAUUCUUCGGAUGAAAUUUAAAAUGGAAAGCGGCGGACGGGUGAGUAACGCGUAGGCAACCUGCCCCAUACAAAGGGAUAGCAUUUGGAAACGAAUAUUAAUACCUUAUGAAACUUAACUAGUGCAUGCUAGGUAGGUCAAAGAUUUAUCGGUAUGGGAUGGGCCUGCGUCUGAUUAGCUAGUUGGUGAGGUAACGGCUCACCAAGGCGACGAUCAGUAGCCGACCUGAGAGGGUGAACGGCCACAUUGGAACUGAGACACGGUCCAAACUCCUACGGGAGGCAGCAGUGGGGAAUAUUGCACAAUGGGGGAAACCCUGAUGCAGCAACGCCGCGUGAACGAUGAAGGCCUUUGGGUCGUAAAGUUCUGUUCUAGGUGAUGAAAACUGACAGUAACCUAGGAGAAAGCCCCGGCUAACUCCGUG
Molecule: ribosomal RNA, 479 nt
Filed under: uncultured bacterium
Lineage: Bacteria
Description: partial 16S ribosomal RNA
Rfam family: Bacterial small subunit ribosomal RNA
Source: RNAcentral